CCUACGGGUGGCAGCAGUGAGGAAUAUUGGUCAAUGGACGCAAUCCUGAACCAGCCAUGCCGCGUGCAGGAAGACGGCCCUAUGAGUUGUAAACUGCUUUUGUCGGAGGGCAAACGCCGGUACGUGUAUCUGUCUGACAGUAUCCUACGAAUAAGGAUCGGCUAACUCCGUGCCAGCAGCCGCGGUAAUACGGAGGAUUCAAGCGUUAUCCGGAUUUAUUGGGUUUAAAGGGUGCGUAGGCGGUCGGGUAAGUUAGAGGUGAAAUACCGGGGCUCAACGUCGGUAGUGCCUCUGAUACUGGUCGGCUAGAGAGUGGGUGAGGUACGCGGAAUGUGUGGUGUAGCGGUGAAAUGCAUAGAGAUCGUGCAGAACACCGAUUGCGAAGGCAGCGUACC
RNAcentral lists this ribosomal RNA (395 nucleotides) under uncultured bacterium. RNAcentral describes it as "partial 16S ribosomal RNA". It matches the Rfam family "Bacterial small subunit ribosomal RNA", at positions 338 to 730 of the family's 1533-position model. The record is from RNAcentral.